CGAAAGCCUGACGGAGCAAUACCGCGUGAGGGAGGAAGGCUCUUGGGUUGUAAACCUCUUUUCUCAGGGAAGAACAAUGACGGUACCUGAGGAAUCAGCAUCGGCUAACUCCGUGCCAGCAGCCGCGGUAAUACGGAGGAUGCAAGCGUUAUCCGGAAUUAUUGGGCGUAAAGCGUCUGUAGGUGGACAUUCAAGUCUGCUGUCAAAGACCGGGGCUUAACCCUGGAAAGGCAGUGGAAACUGAAGCGCUAGAGUGUGGCAGGGGUAGAGGGAAUUCCCGGUGUAGCGGUGAAAUGCGUAGAGAUCGGGAAGAACAUCGGUGGCGAAAGCGCUCUACUGGGCCACAACUGACACUCAGGGACGAAAGCUAGGGGAGCG
This 378-nucleotide ribosomal RNA is filed under the name uncultured soil crust cyanobacterium. Its description in RNAcentral is "bacterial SSU rRNA". It matches the Rfam family "Bacterial small subunit ribosomal RNA", at positions 376 to 770 of the family's 1533-position model. The record is from RNAcentral. Lineage: Bacteria; Bacillati; Cyanobacteriota.